GGGAAAUAGAUGUUUAAUACUUGUGAAACAAGUUCACCAUAUAUUUUGAGGUGUCAGGCAUUGUGUAAAAACAAGCUCCUAACAAAUGAGUUCUGGAGUUUAUUAGCAUAGAUGAAUAACAGAAAGCUCCAUGUGAAAUAGCCACACUUGGCAGGACCUUUGGUUGGAGCCUCAGUAACGCCCCCACGCACCACCACGCCUGGGAAACGUUUACCCAGGAAGCAAACCAGUGCUGCUCAGAAACCCUGCAAGUCCAGAAUUAGCCAAUCACACUUCAAAUACACAUAUUUUUGAACAUUUACAUUCUCAUUUUGGGUUCAGGAAGCAAUUGCAAACACUUACAUUCCAUACCACAUCACAGAACAAACCUUGACUGUUGUCUAAUUCACACUGAAGCCCAAUCUGCAGACCCUCAGCAAAUCUGAAAAGGACCAUGAAUCACCAUGUCCCAGAUGGGAGACAGGAGGAGCGGGCACUCUCUCCAGGGCAGGGCAGGGGCACACCGUGUUUUAAACCAGCCUUUCUGUUAGUGUCUGUCUUGGGAAACCGGAGUGAAUGAGGCCUUUGAUUACUGAAUACUUGGAGAUUUUGGAUCAUUGCCCUCUUUGUCUCACUGACCAGCUCCACAGACCACGCUGACUUAGGUGUGUUUUGGAGCCAUAGAAGAGACAGCUGUUUUCAGGGAUCAUAUUUAGAGUCCCAUGCUGCACUAUUGUUCAAGGUGAUGGAAAUAUGCAGGGCCAUGAAACCAUUCAGCGGGUGCUAGAAAGCAGGGUUUUCCUGUUUUCCAAACUCAGACAAUGGAGAAGGUAAGAUGAAUAAUAGGAAAAGGCUUUCCUAUAUUUGCAUUUUUAAAAGCUGAGUUAUUUUGAAUUUGGUAACUAUUUUUGUUGUUAAAUCUCAUCUGUUCUCUUAGUUUUCCCAGAAAUAUUUAUAGACAAAGAGGCUUGGAAAGAAGUACCUGGUGAUUUCGUCCAUCAACUGGAAGGCUGUUUGGUGAAAAUCGGCCCAGCCAAAGGCUGAUGCUUAGGAAGGAAAGAGUCAGUGCCUUUGAGAGGGAACCAAUUCAUUCCCAGCAUGGCUCAUCGCCACAGUGGAUACAGCAGCACUUGGGUGUGGUUCACAUUUUUACUCCACAGUUUUGCCCUCAUGAUAGGGGAAGGUAGCAGGGGAAUCUCCAGGGAGACGUAUGGCUCUGUCACUGAGUCACGGGCCCUGCCCAGCAGGCAGCAGGGGACAGCCCAGCUCCCUGUCCUCAGCCCCAGCCCUGUGAGACUCAUGCAGGUGACAUUGCUGUGAACUGUGAUGUGUGCCUUCUCCGGUCCCUCAAAGGCUUUCUCCCUUCUCCCAUUUAUGCUGCCACUAGCUUGAGAUGUGAGGAUCUUAGUUUGGGGGCUCAGAGGCUGCAGCAGUGGAAACACUCACCAGCCAGGUGGCCAUCAACAAACUACCCUUUUCCUGAGGGUUCCCGGGGGGCUCAGCCAUAGCUGAUAGUCUAAGGCUUCACUGUCUGAGGGGGUGGCCAGACCCCGGACGCUGGCUUCUCAAUAGGAAUGGAAAAAGAGCUCCACUCGCCACAAAGGAAGGGGCUGCUGUCAUCAGCGGGGACUGCCUUCCUUAUCUGCCAUCCUAAGGUCAGGGCAUCCUAGGGAUGAAGCCACGUGUUGCCACCAACAGGAGAAUUUAAAUAGAGACCAGAAAGGGGGGCUGAGCAGUGUGAGACAUGAAGAGAACCUGCAGUGACCCCCACAGGGUCUGCACAGAGCAUACAGGGGCCACAGGAAGAGGACUGUCUCCUCCACCCCAAGUGCCAGGGCAGAACUGUGGCAGCCCAGGGGCACAGGUGUCAUGCUCACAUUUUUUUCUCUCAAGUGCAAAUGUUGCUGUGUCCUUUAAAAUCUCUGAAUGGUCACUGAUGGUUUCUGUGCAAAUGACAGCCAGUCUCAACAGGUUGCCAAGAGUCCUGUGGCCAGUGGAGGUUCUUGCCAAAUGGAUGCAGCCUUGGGUCCCUGGAAAGUUAAAAACCAGCUUGUGAUCUCAGCACUCUAGGAGGCUGAGGGAGGCUGAGGCAGGAGGAUGGCAAAUUCAAGCCCAGCCUGGGCAACUUAGUCACUUAGUGAGACCCUGUCUCAGACAAAAAAAAAAAAAAACAAGAUAUUUGGAUGUAGCUCAGUGAAAAGGCCCUGGGUUUAACCCCAAAUAUCACAAAAAAUUUCACAAUUAAAAUUAAGUUAAAAACCAAAGCUCCAAUUGAAACCUGGAGGACAUAAGAUGACUAAAAGGCAGAAAUUGCCAGCACCUAUUAAGCCUGCACAGCCCCCAUCUUGCCUGUGUCUCCCCCAGCUUAGACUUCCCACAUUUCAGCACUGACAAAGGAUAUUUACUUAGUUCCGAAGGCCACAUCCCAGUGGAUGUGGAUUGCUGUCCACCCCAGCCCCAGGGUGGCAACUCCUGGGAGAGACGCGUGUAACACAGGAACCGCAGGGAGGGCGCAUGGCUCCAGGCCCAGAUCUGGAAGUCUUGGUGGAGACCCAUGCGCUUGUCUCACAGCGAGCCUCGCUUCUGAGGCGGCUUUCCAGUCAAGCUGGGCUGUGAGGUGGAGAGCGCUUUGCCCAAGCAGAGAUUUUUGUAAAAGAAGUUUACACUGAGUGUGUCAGGUACAAUGACCUCAAGCAGAGAAUGUGUUACAAAAUGUGUUAAUUAUUCUCUCUUCCCCUCUCCCUUCCCUUCCCAGCCCUAACUAAGGUGAAGAGGGAAAAGGGGGACCCUGAGCGUCCUGUGGGACUGAGUCCCAGCAGGUACAAGUUCUCCUGUGACCCGUGCUGAAAUGCUUUAAAAACACAGCUUCCCAGACCCACCUGCUGCCCCACCCACCUAUCCUUGAUCCAGGGGAGCUGCAGGAGCCACAGCAGGGGCCACACGGGGCCAUGCCGCUCAGAGCUGCCCAGGUUUUUCGAUAGUCCAGCAUGUUCACCUCCAUCUGUACAGAGGAAGCAAGCCCUGCCCAGCCCUUAGGUCUUACGCUUACACCAAAGCCCUCCACUCCUUCACGCAAUUUUUCUCAUAUUUUUCCAACUUUACUUGCAAAUAAAUCCAAGACAGCAAGAAACUUAAGAACCAGAGGAUGUGGAUCUCUACUUCCUGGUGAUCCCACUUCCUGCCAUUCUGAAGGCUUCCACAGCAGUGAGGGGCUGAGCAAGGAAGCGCAGAUGCAGAUGGGGAGAGCUGGUUCCAGUCUGAGCAAGUUCCUUUGGCAGCACAGAGUUUCUCGUACAGUCAGAUCAUCAAAGGACCCAGCUGCCCUCUCCGGGAGAGGCACAAACCCAUCAGUGCUAACAGCACCAGCCGCCACCCUCUGCUCUAGAGGAAAGGGAGAGGGCAGGGCAUGAAGGGAGCCCUUGGCACUGGGCCCUGGCCUGACCAGAACCAGGGGAGAAAGGAAGUCAGCUGCAUUUGAAUUUGAAAAGGAGGAGCUCAUAGGAACCCUUAGUGUUCACAAAGUUCCCAUGGUGAUGGGGACACAGCUUCCAUCGCAGAAAAUAUCACCCACGUGGAGAAAAUACCUUUUGCAUCUCAAGUCAAAGGCCGUAAGGGGAAGGCAUGCCACCGUGUACUAAAAUUCCAGUCCAGGCUUGGGAGGGUGUGACUUCCCCUUCACUCCGAAGGUGGUGGCAGCUGACUGGACUUGUCCUCGAGCCACUUCCCUUCAGCAGUCUGACCCAGGUGUCGGACU
RNAcentral lists this long non-coding RNA (3733 nucleotides) under Heterocephalus glaber (naked mole-rat). RNAcentral's name for it is "lncRNA (ENSHGLG00000036499.1)". Lineage: Eukaryota; Metazoa; Chordata; Mammalia; Rodentia; Bathyergidae. The record is from RNAcentral.